Molecule: long non-coding RNA, 1788 nt
Organism: Oenanthe melanoleuca
Lineage: Eukaryota; Metazoa; Chordata; Aves; Passeriformes; Muscicapidae
Exons: 3
Source: RefSeq, a predicted model, not a curated record
CGAUCUUCAGCAUUUCCUGUUGGCUGGGGUAUUGCUUAGGUGUAAUUUCUAUUCUUAGUACCUAAUAUAGGUCUGUGAACCUGUUUUCUGGGUCUAAGGCAGGAUAAACUAAAUUGAAACAUCCUUUUAUGGAUAUUGCCCUAAUUUCUUGUAAACUGAAGAUCACAAAUGCUGGAGGCUGAAGAUAGGCUAAGUAACAAGAAGGUCUGCUGGAACAGACUAGAAGGCUAGUGAAGCAAAAUAACAAUGGAAUGGUUUAUGAAUAUAUCUUAGCAAUCUGGGAUAUUAAAUUAGAAGACUGCAUUUUUCCUCUUUGACAUAGCUAUAUAAAAAAGAAUAAAUAGCAAGCGAUACGCAAGCGAUUAAAUGCAUCACCUGAAUGCUGAAUAGGUUUAUGCCAUGCUGAAAAUAAGGAGACAUUUUAGUUUUGUACAGAUUCACGGUAUUUUCACAGUAAUUUCAUACUGUGAAUGUACAAAGCCUCCUUUUACCUCUGUGUGUGUAUAUAUAUAUGCACCUGUCAAGCUAAAUGCUUUAAAUUUCAGCCCUUUCUGAGUCACGUAUCUAUAAAAUGCUCAGCUUUUUAAAGCAUUGUCUUAAAAUUCUGAAUUAAUCGACUUUUCCAAAACUUCAAAUUCAGCCUGGAGUUCAGCCUCGAAGUUUCCAUCUGCAGCAAGAGAAAACUAUACUUACUGGUUUUCAAACUGUUGUUGUGAAAGAUAUAAUGGAAACAUUGUUAUCUCUGUCCAUAAUUAUGGAUAUGGUAAUUUUGUUGCAUGUAUACAUGCAUACACAAACAGAUACACAACUUGAAUGUUGCACUAUUCUUAGUCUAUACACUCAGUCCUGACAGCACUCAAGAUUUAAUGUAAUAGUGUGAAUGUAUAGAAUCAAGUUUUUUCUUGUAUAUGUGUGAAAUGUUAUCUGGCUGUACAAUAUUAAAUUAUUGCUUGAGUAUGGCAUCUGCCUCACUUGCUGAUCAUCAUUGAUUCAUACAGGCUUUACAUAUCUGAUUCUUGCUCCGUCCUCUCUGUGGAAAGCGUGAUUCCAUCAGUGGUUCAGUGCUGUCAUGAAGUGGAAGGAUUUAGCAGUCUGCAUCUGGUGUGUUUGUGAAGGCUUUCAGCAAGAUUUACAGCACUGGCUCCAGCAUGUCAGUGUCCUUCAUGUAGUGAGAUACCCAAAGCUGAACACAGGAUUCAAGGUGCUGCCUCACCAGUGCAAAAUACAAGGGACAAUCAAUGCCCUGCUCCUGCUGGCCACACUUUUUCUGAUACGCAUUAAUCAUCAAGCAGUGCUAUCUGGAAUGGGCACAAAAGGAAAGAAAAUUAACAGUAUUAUUUGGAUGUAUUCACAGGAAGAAACUUCUGCUCUGGAAGAGUUGUCCCCCUUCAGACACAGCAGUACCAGAGGUCAUUAAAUUUUUCUUCUUCAGAUCUGCAUUUGUAAACCUGAAACCUUUUUUUUUGCCUAUAAAAUACAGCAGUCACAAAGAUGUUUGGCAGCCUGUGCUAAUACUAAUAAUAUUUAGCAAUAAUUCAACUAUCAGUUCUUAUCUACUUCUUCCAUUCCUACCUUCUCUUUGCCAAGUCCACUUUUUUGGCUGCCCUAUCUUUUCUAGAGUAAGAUUUUUGAGGUGGGAAAUAAGCCUUUUUGCUGUGGUUUAUAGAUGGUAAACACAGUAGGGCUCUGGUCCACCACAGAAACACUAAGAUCAUAAUGCAGAUGGUACAAAUAAGCUCAAGACAGAUUCUACAUUGGUUAAAAUUAAAUAUAUUCUUCCCCAAAUUA